UACGGAGGAUCCAAGCGUUAUCCGGAAUCAUUGGGUUUAAAGGGUCCGUAGGCGGAUUAAUAAGUCAGUGGUGAAAGCCCAUCGCUCAACGGUGGAACGGCCAUUGAUACUGUUAAACUUGAAUUAUUAGGAAGUAACUAGAAUAUGUAGUGUAGCGGUGAAAUGCUUAGAGAUUACAUGGAAUACCAAUUGCGAAGGCAGGUUACUACUAAUGGAUUGACGCUGAUGGACGAAAGCGUGGGUAGCGAACAGG
This 253-nucleotide ribosomal RNA is filed under the name uncultured bacterium. RNAcentral's name for it is "partial 16S ribosomal RNA". It matches the Rfam family "Bacterial small subunit ribosomal RNA", at positions 524 to 776 of the family's 1533-position model. The record is from RNAcentral.